RNAcentral lists this unclassified non-coding RNA (285 nucleotides) under plant metagenome. RNAcentral's name for it is "partial contains small subunit ribosomal RNA, internal transcribed spacer 1, and 5.8S ribosomal RNA". The stretch from base 1 to 54 matches the Rfam family "Eukaryotic small subunit ribosomal RNA", at positions 1778 to 1831 of the family's 1831-position model. The record is from RNAcentral.
GGAAGUAAACGUCGUAACAAGGUUUCCGUAGGUGAACCUGCGGAAGGAUCAUUAUUGUAUAACCGAGGUGCGAGGGCUGUCGCUGACCGGAAAGGUCGUGCACGCCCGAGUGCCCUCACACACAUCCAUCUCACCCCUAUGUGCACCACCGCGUGGGUCCCCCUUUGGCUUGUUCGGAGGGGGGCUUACGUUUUCACACAAACUUUGUAUGCAGUGUAGAAUGUAUUUUUUGUUUUUGCGAUCACGCAAUCAAUACAACUUUCAACAACGGAUCUCUUGGCUCUC